UACGUAGGGUGCGAGCGUUGUUCGGAUUUAUUGGGCGUAAAGCGAGCGCAGGUGGUUUAAUAAGUCUGAUGUAAAAGGCAGUGGCUCAACCAUUGUGUGCAUUGGAAACUGUUAGACUUGAGUGCAGUAGAGGAGAGUGGAAUUCCAUGUGUAGCGGUGAAAUGCGUAGAUAUAUGGAGGAACACCGGUGGCGAAAGCGGCUCUCUGGACUGUAACUGACACUGAGGCUCGAAAGCGUGGGUAGCAAACAGG
RNAcentral lists this ribosomal RNA (252 nucleotides) under uncultured microorganism. RNAcentral describes it as "partial 16S ribosomal RNA". It matches the Rfam family "Bacterial small subunit ribosomal RNA", at positions 524 to 776 of the family's 1533-position model. The record is from RNAcentral.